AUUGAACGCUGGCGGCAGGCCUAACACAUGCAAGUCGAGCGGAUGAAGGGAGCUUGCUCCUGGAUUCAGCGGCGGACGGGUGAGUAAUGCCUAGGAAUCUGCCUGGUAGUGGGGGAUAACGUCCGGAAACGGGCGCUAAUACCGCAUACGUCCUGAGGGAGAAAGUGGGGGAUCUUCGGACCUCACGCUAUCAGAUGAGCCUAGGUCGGAUUAGCUAGUUGGUGGGGUAAAGGCCUACCAAGGCGACGAUCCGUAACUGGUCUGAGAGGAUGAUCAGUCAACCGGGAAUUAGCAACCGGUCCAGACCCCACGGGAGGCAGCAGUGGGGAAUAUUGGACAAUGGGCGAAAGCCUGAUCCAGCCAUGCCGCGUGUGUGAAGAAGGUCUUCGGAUUGUAAAGCACUUUAAGUUGGGAGGAAGGGCAGUAAGUUAAUACCUUGCUGUUUUGACGUUACCAACAGAAUAAGCACCGGCUAACUUCGUG
Molecule: ribosomal RNA, 483 nt
Filed under: uncultured bacterium
Lineage: Bacteria
Description: partial 16S ribosomal RNA
Rfam family: Bacterial small subunit ribosomal RNA
Source: RNAcentral